CGAAUAUUUCGCCUUUUAGACCUGAAGUCCACAGAGAAGCUCAAGAGUGAGGAGGGACUUUAUUAACAGAUACAGACAGGACUCUGGAGUGGGAAUCACUGCAUGGACUCAGAAUCACGUUAAAAACCAUUGACUGUGAACACAGUUCAUCACAGCGUCGACUAAUGAGGUUCAAACUGAACCACGAAAGGGGAGACCAGAUAGAACCAGAACCUGACCCCCGAUUUCCAUCGCAUCCAGAACGUCUACGAAAAGGUCGUAUCCUCUGGUCGUAGCUGAUCGUAACCAUUCAAGUUAACGUGCCAAUUUCCACCGGCUUCUUUCCGUUCCUCCACCUCCUCCUGCUCUGCGGGCCCCUCCCCUUCCUCCCAGGGAUCUGAACUACAGCAAGUACAUGUUCAUCCACUCCGGUAAGAUGCGCCGCCUCGUCGCCGCCCCCAUCAUUCUGUUUUACUGGAACUUAUUUUUGACCCGAGUCAGGAACUGAGGAGUGAUGAGACCAGAUCUUUAACCCCCGUAAUCACAGCCUGCAGGUGGAUGCUGGGGUGGGGAGGUGCAGUAUUUUAGCAGGGCAGUGGAGGCAAAAACAGGAAAUCCUGCCGCUGAAAUAGAGCGCCAAACCGGGAGUGUGUUCGUCAUGUGAUUGUGAGAAGUGUAAAAUCAGUGCAGCUGGAGUUGACUGCCUGAACUAGCUCUCAGGCUUUGCUCUGUCUAUGGCACAGCAGCAGUGCUUUAAUACAGUUCACAUGAGGGCUAGGUGAUAAACCAAAAAUUUACCGAUACCGAAAUUUACAACAACAAGCGACGUAUUUGGUGUCACUUUUGGUUUUGGAUGUGAGUAGGUAGGCUAAGGUCUCAAGUCCCUUUAACCGCCAAUUUCCACCACAUCCUGAACGGCCACGAAAAGGUCGUAUCCUCCGAUCGUAGCUGAUCGUAACCAUUCAAG
Non-coding RNA from Xyrichtys novacula (pearly razorfish), 946 nucleotides. NCBI's taxonomy places the organism in Eukaryota, Metazoa, Chordata, Actinopteri, Labriformes, Labridae. The record is from the annotation of a GenBank genome assembly.